Molecule: ribosomal RNA, 259 nt
Filed under: uncultured bacterium
Lineage: Bacteria
Description: partial 16S ribosomal RNA
Source: RNAcentral
CUGCUGCCUCCCGUAGGAGUCUGGGCCGUGUCUCAGUCCCAAUGUGGCCGUCCAACCUCUCAGUCCGGCUACCGAUCGUCGGCUUGGUGGGCCGUUACCUCACCAACUACCUAAUCGGACGCGAGCCCAUCUUUCAGCGGAUUGCUCCUUUGAUUAUCCUACCAUGCGAUAAGAUAAUGUCAUGCGGUAUUAGCGUUCGUUUCCAAACGUUAUCCCCCUCCUGAAAGGCAGGUUGCUCACGCGUUACUCACCCGUCCCG